CCCGACUUUUUCACUAUAGCUUUUCAUUUUUCGCUCGAACAGAGCGGAAAACGAAAACACGAUUUUUCCGCCUAUUCGUAAAAAAAAUUUUUCGAGAAAAAUUUUUUACAGAGAACCAAACAAUGGAAAUCUAUUUUUCAACUGAAAAAAAAUUUUCGGACUCAUUUUACAUGGAUCCAAACACGCCCUAAGCGCUUGGUGUUAUCGAUAGUAUCCCAACCAUACUCUUUGAAACUAGGCUGGAAUAUUAUCGACAGCACCAAGCUAUUGGUGCUAUUAGGUUUUCAGUCUUUGGAUAACAAAAUGUACGGUUAGGAUGAUGUGGGCUCUAUAGGUUUGAGUCAGUUAUUGGUUAAAUAGUAUAAUCUAAAGGGUGAAAAUAGUCAGAGAAUUAAAUCUAACGGAGGAAAACUCGGUAGCACCAAACGCUUGAUGCUAUCGAUAGUAUUCCAACCGGACUCUCUCUCUCUCUCUCUCUCUCUCUCUCUCUCUAUAUAUAUAUAUAUAUAUCUCUCUAUAUAUAUAUAUAUAUAGUGAGGCUACUAUGCUAUCGGAAGCACGGAGCCUUCCGUGCUUCCAGCUCGUUUUCGAUGUUGCGACUUUCGAAUCGUCAAUCGGCUCCGUUAAACUUGAUCUAGAGUAUUUGGAGUAUCUAGAAAAUAAAUUUGAUUAUUUUUCGAUAUCAUUUGCCUAGUGAUCGAAUGGGCUCAAAAUCAACAAAUUUCAAUGGCCGUAGUGAGCCGUUUGCAAGUUUAACGGUGUAGAAAUAUCCAAAUCACGUGAAAUUUUGAUAGAAAAUUCUUUAUACUAUAUAAAACAAGAUCAAUAUCUUUGAUUUAAAAUUUUAAUGUCAUAUUAUUACAUUUUGUAAGAUUUUUAUUUUCAGCCGUUGAUUUUGAGCCCCUUCGUUCAUUAAGCAAAUGAUAUCGAAAAAUAAUAAAAUUUAUUUUCUAGGUACUCCAAAUACUCU
This 970-nucleotide long non-coding RNA is filed under the name Ananas comosus (pineapple). RNAcentral's name for it is "long non-coding RNA (ACOM_LNC042522)". Lineage: Eukaryota; Viridiplantae; Streptophyta; Magnoliopsida; Poales; Bromeliaceae. The record is from RNAcentral.